UACGGAGGCCGCAAGCGUUGUUCGGAAUUACUGGGCGUAAAGCGCGUGUAGGCGGCCAGGUAAGUCGGAUGUGAAAGCCCGGGGCCCAACCCCGGAACUGCACCCGAUACUGCCCGGCUGGAGUCCCGGAGAGGAUGGCGGAAUUUCCGGUGUAGAGGUGAAAUUCGUAGAUAUCGGAAGGAACACCAGUGGCGAAGGCGGCCAUCUGGACGGUGACUGACGCUGAGACGAGAAAGCGUGGGGAGCAAACAGG
This 253-nucleotide ribosomal RNA is filed under the name uncultured bacterium. Its description in RNAcentral is "partial 16S ribosomal RNA". It matches the Rfam family "Bacterial small subunit ribosomal RNA", at positions 524 to 776 of the family's 1533-position model. The record is from RNAcentral.